GGGGAUGUAGCUCAGAUGGUA
RNAcentral lists this non-coding RNA (21 nucleotides) under Arabidopsis thaliana (thale cress). Lineage: Eukaryota; Viridiplantae; Streptophyta; Magnoliopsida; Brassicales; Brassicaceae. The record is from RNAcentral. RNAcentral also lists the same sequence under 2 other names.